UACGUAGGGUGCGAGCGUUGUCCGGAAUUACUGGGCGUAAAGAGCUCGUAGGCGGUUCGUUGAGUUGUUCGUGAAAACUCACAGCUCAACUGUGGGCGUGCGGGCGAUACGGGCAGACUGGAGUACUGCAGGGGAGACUGGAAUUCCUGGUGUAGCGGUGGAAUGCGCAGAUAUCAGGAGGAACACCGGUGGCGAAGGCGGGUCUCUGGGCAGUAACUGACGCUGAGGAGCGAAAGCGUGGGGAGCGAACAGG
Molecule: ribosomal RNA, 253 nt
Filed under: uncultured bacterium
Lineage: Bacteria
Description: partial 16S ribosomal RNA
Rfam family: Bacterial small subunit ribosomal RNA
Source: RNAcentral